RNAcentral lists this ribosomal RNA (253 nucleotides) under uncultured bacterium. RNAcentral's name for it is "partial 16S ribosomal RNA". It matches the Rfam family "Bacterial small subunit ribosomal RNA", at positions 524 to 776 of the family's 1533-position model. The record is from RNAcentral.
UACAGAGGGUGCAAGCGUUACUCGGAAUUACUGGGCGUAAAGCGUGCGUAGACGGUUAUUUAAGUCAGGUGUGAAAGCCCCGGGCUCAACCUGGGAAUUGCAUUUGAGACUGAAUAGCUAGGGUGCGGAAGAGGAAAGUGGAAUUCCACGUGUAGCGGUGAAAUGCGUAGAGAUGUGGAGGAACACCAGUGGCGAAGGCGACUUUCUGGCUUAUAACUGACGCUGAGGCGCGAAAGCGUGGGGAGCAAACAGG